UAGGGAAUCUUCCGCAAUGGGCGAAAGCCUGACGGAGCAACGCCGCGUGAGUGAUGAAGGUCUUCGGAUCGUAAAACUCUGUUAUUAGGGAAGAACAAAUGUGUAAGUAACUAUGCACGUCUUGACGGUACCUAAUCAGAAAGCCACGGCUAACUACGUGCCAGCAGCCGCGGUAAUACGUAGGUGGCAAGCGUUAUCCGGAAUUAUUGGGCGUAAAGCGCGCGUAGGCGGUUUUUUAAGUCUGAUGUGAAAGCCCACGGCUCAACCGUGGAGGGUCAUUGGAAACUGGAAAACUUGAGUGCAGAAGAGGAAAGUGGAAUUCCAUGUGUAGCGGUGAAAUGCGCAGAGAUAUGGAGGAACACCAGUGGCGAAGGCGACUUUCUGGUCUGUAACUUACGCUGAUGUGCGAAAGCGUGGGGAUCAAACAGG
This 429-nucleotide ribosomal RNA is filed under the name Actinomycetes bacterium. RNAcentral describes it as "Actinobacteria bacterium partial 16S ribosomal RNA". It matches the Rfam family "Bacterial small subunit ribosomal RNA", at positions 355 to 776 of the family's 1533-position model. Lineage: Bacteria; Bacillati; Actinomycetota; Actinomycetes. The record is from RNAcentral.